GAUUGCCCUAGUAACGGCGAGUGAAGCGGCAACAGCUCAAAUUUGAAAUCUGGCCCUUUCAGGGUCCGAGUUGUAAUUUGUAGAGGGCGCUUUGGUGUUGGCUGCGGUCUAAGUUCCUUGGAACAGGACGUCACAGAGGGUGAGAAUCCCGUACGUGGUCGACAGUCUUCACCGUGUAAAGCCCCUUCGACGAGUCGAGUUGUUUGGGAAUGCAGCUCUAAAUGGGAGGUAAAUUUCUUCUAAAGCUAAAUAUUGGCCAGAGACCGAUAGCGCACAAGUAGAGUGAUCGAAAGAUGAAAAGCACUUUGGAAAGAGAGUCAAAAAGCACGUGAAAUUGUUGAAAGGGAAGCGCUUGCAAUCAGACUUGCCUGUAGUUGCUCAUCUGGACUUUUGUCCGGUGCACUCUUCUGCGGGCAGGCCAGCAUCAGUUCAGGCGGCUGGAUAAAGGCCUCUAUCACGUAUCUUCCUUCGGGAUGACCUUAUAGGGGAGGUGUAAUGCAGCCAGCCUGGAUUGAGGUCCGCGCAUCUGCUAGGAUGCUGGCGUAAUGAUUGUAAGCGGCCCGUCUUGAAACACGGACCAAGGAGUCUAACAUCUAUGCGAGUGUUUGGGUGUCAAGCCCGGACGCGCAAUGAAAGUGAACGGAGGUGGGAACCCUUACGGGUGCACCAUCGACCGAUCCUGAUGUCUUCGGAUGGAUUUGAGUAAGAGCAUAGCUGUUGGGACCCGAAAGAUGGUGAACUAUGCCUGAAUAGGGUGAAGCCAGAGGAAACUCUGGUGGAGGCUCGCAGCGGUUCUGACGUGCAAAUCGAUCGUCAAAUUUGGGCAUAGGGGCGAAAGACUAAUCG
RNAcentral lists this ribosomal RNA (846 nucleotides) under Nigrograna mackinnonii. Its description in RNAcentral is "LSU rRNA". It matches the Rfam family "Eukaryotic large subunit ribosomal RNA", at positions 73 to 937 of the family's 3401-position model. Lineage: Eukaryota; Fungi; Ascomycota; Dothideomycetes; Pleosporales; Nigrogranaceae. The record is from RNAcentral.